Molecule: non-coding RNA, 85 nt
Organism: Felis catus (domestic cat)
Lineage: Eukaryota; Metazoa; Chordata; Mammalia; Carnivora; Felidae
Source: Rfam
GCCUGGGUGGCUCAGUCGGUUGAGCGUCCGACUUCGGCUCAGGUCAUGAUCUCGCGGUCCGUGAGUUCGAGCCCCGCAUCGGGCU